UACGUAGGGGGCUAGCGUUGUCCGGAAUCAUUGGGCGUAAAGCGCGCGUAGGCGGCCCGGUAAGUCCGUUGUGAAAGUCAAAGGCUCAACCUUUGAAAGCCGAUGGAUACUGCCGGGCUAGAGUCCGGAAGGGGCGAGUGGAAUUCCUGGUGUAGCGGUGAAAUGCGCAGAUAUCAGGAGGAACACCUAUGGCGAAGGCAGCUCGCUGGGACGGUACUGACGCUGAGGCGCGAAAGCGUGGGGAGCGAACAGG
RNAcentral lists this ribosomal RNA (253 nucleotides) under uncultured bacterium. RNAcentral's name for it is "partial 16S ribosomal RNA". It matches the Rfam family "Bacterial small subunit ribosomal RNA", at positions 524 to 776 of the family's 1533-position model. The record is from RNAcentral.